RNAcentral lists this ribosomal RNA (42 nucleotides) under Rotylenchulus reniformis. RNAcentral describes it as "partial 18S ribosomal RNA". Lineage: Eukaryota; Metazoa; Nematoda; Chromadorea; Rhabditida; Hoplolaimidae. The record is from RNAcentral.
CGUAACAAGGUAGCUGUAGGUGGACCUGCUGCUGGAUCAUUA